This 431-nucleotide long non-coding RNA is filed under the name Mus spicilegus (steppe mouse). Its description in RNAcentral is "lncRNA (ENSMSIG00000001504.1)". The record is from RNAcentral. Lineage: Eukaryota; Metazoa; Chordata; Mammalia; Rodentia; Muridae.
AAAAACCUAACCCUAACCCUAGCCCUAGCCAAAAACCUAACCCUAACCCUAACCCUAGCCAAAAAGCUAACCCUAACCCUAACCCUAGCCCUUGCCAAAAACCUAACCCUAGCUGUCUCUCUAUCUCUCUAUAUCUGUAUGUCUGUAUGUCUGUCUCUCUGUCUGUCUGUGUCUGUCUCCCUAUCUGUCUGUCUCUGUGUCUGUCUCUCUGUCUCUUUCGCUCUGUCUGUCUCUGUCUGUCUGUCUCUUUGUCACUGUCUGUGACUCUGUCUGUCUCUGUCUGUCUGUCUCCCUGUCUCUCUGUCUGUCUCUCUGUCUUCUCUGACUUCCAACCCAAAGUCAUCAAAAAAGACAAGGAGGGGCACUUCGUUCUCAUCAAAGGUAAAAUCCUCCAAGAGGAACUCUCCAUAUCUACGCUCCAAAUGCAAGGG